UGCAGAAAUACCCCAUCUGAUUAUUGCGUCUCAUGGCGAUUGCAUUUUCAGCAUUGAAGGGUCUCCAUUGACUGCCCAGGGGUGGAGACAUUUGGGCCAUCAGUCCACCCUCUUUGAGUGACGGAGGCAUCCCGUCAGCAUCAGUGUAUGGUUUUCGUGUUUCUCCUAAUGAGUUUUGCUCUGUUGGAAAUGCCAUCUGCCU
Molecule: long non-coding RNA, 202 nt
Filed under: Sinocyclocheilus anshuiensis
Lineage: Eukaryota; Metazoa; Chordata; Actinopteri; Cypriniformes; Cyprinidae
Description: lncRNA (ENSSANG00000034128.1)
Source: RNAcentral